This 52-nucleotide transfer RNA is filed under the name Clostridium beijerinckii. RNAcentral's name for it is "tRNA-Ser". It matches the Rfam family "tRNA", at positions 24 to 71 of the family's 71-position model. Rfam says of the family: Transfer RNA (tRNA) molecules are approximately 80 nucleotides in length. Their secondary structure includes four short double-helical elements and three loops (D, anti-codon, and T loops). Lineage: Bacteria; Bacillati; Bacillota; Clostridia; Eubacteriales; Clostridiaceae. The record is from RNAcentral.
CACCUGCCUUGCACGCAGGGGGUCAAGAGUUCGAAUCUCUUUAUCUCCACCA